UAAGAGCACAUGGCGGAUGUCUUGGCGUCAAGAGGCGAUGAAGGACGUGGGAACCUGCGAAAAGUUCAGGGGAGCCGGUAACCAGGCUGUGAUCCUGAAAUGUCCGAAUGGGGAAACCCGGCCGUAAGGUCACUCUUACCUGAAUGCAUAGGGUAAGAGAGCGAACCUGGGGAACUGAAACAUCUAAGUACCCAGAGGAAAGGAAAUCAACCGAGACUCCGUGAGUAGCGGCGAGCGAAAGCGGAUUGCGACUUAAGUCAGUGAACGCGUUGGAAAGCGCGGCCAAAGAAGGUGAUAGCCCUGUAGUUGGAUGAUGUCGCUCAGCCCUAGAGUAGCGUCGGUGUCGUGAAACCCGGCGUGAACAUGGGGGGUCCACCCUCCAAGGCUAAGUACUACUUGACGACCGAUAGUUAACCAGUAAGGCGACUGAAUGAUGAAAACUACCCCUGCUAGGGGUGUGAAAGAGUAGCUGAAACCAUGUGCUUACACAGCGGUCAGAGCCCUUCGGGGUGAUGGCGUGCCUUUUGCAUAAUGACCCGGCGAGUUACUCUCAUUGGCGAGGUUAAGGCCUAGCGGGCCGAAGCCGAAGCGAAAGCGAGUCUGAAAUAGGCGUUGAGUCGAUGGGAGUAGACGCGAAACCUUGUGAUCUACCCAUGGGCAGGCUGAAGGCCGGGUAAAACCGGCUGGAGGGCCGAACGCACCAACGUUGAAAAGUUGGGCGAUGACCUGUGGGGAGGACUAAAAGUGUAAUCAAACUGGGAGAUAGCUCGUUCUCUCCGAAAUAUUUUUAGGAAUAGCCUCUUGCGGCAACUGUUGGGGGUAGAGCCACUGGAUACGGAUGGGGCCCUCGGGUACCCACUGUAACCAAACUCCGAAUACCAACAGCCAAGGCAAGGGAGUCAGCCCACGAGUGACAAUAUCCGUGGACAAAAGGGAAACAUCCCAGACCGCCAGCUAAGGUCCCUGAACAUUGCUUAGUUCUAAAGGAAGUCGAAGCGCAAAGACAGCCAGGAUGUUGGCUUAGAAGCAGCCAUCAUUUAAAGAAAGCGUAACAGCUCACUGGUCAAGCGUUCCUGCGCGGAAAAUGUAACGGGGCUUAAGUGAUACACCGAAGCUGCGGACUCAGAAAUGAGUGGUAGCGGAGCGUUCUGUAAGUCUGUGAAGGUGGCCUGCGAGGGCUGCUGGAGAUAUCAGAAGUGAGAAUGCUGACAUGAGUAGCGAUAAAGAGGGUGAGAGGCCCUCUCGCCGAAAGUCCAAGGGUUCCUGCGCAAUGCUAAUCAGCGCAGGGUAAGCCGGCCCCUAAGGCGAGGCCGAAAGGCGUAGUCGAUGGGAACCAGGUUAAUAUUCCUGGGCCAGCGGGUAGUGACGGAUUGCGGACGUUGUACACUCUUACUGGAUUGAGUGUGCAGCCAAGCCGUCCCUGGAAAUAGCUCCCGCAUGAGACCGUACCCCAAACCGACACAGGUGGUCAGGUAGAGAAUACUAAGGCGCUUGAGAGAACUCGGGUGAAGGAACUCGGCAAAAUUGUACCGUAACUUCGGGAGAAGGUACGCCUCUGUUUGUGAACACUUCGCGUGGUAAGCAAAUGGAGGCCGCAGUGACCAGGUGGCUGGGACUGUUUAUUAAAAACACAGCACUCUGCAAACUCGUAAGAGGACGUAUAGGGUGUGACACCUGCCCGGUGCCGGAAGGUUAAUUGAUGGGGUUAGUUUUCGGACGAAGCUCUUGAUCGAAGCCCCGGUAAACGGCGGCCGUAACAAUAACGGUCCUAAGGUAGCGAAAUUCCUUGUCGGGUAAGUUCCGACCUGCACGAAUGGCGUAACGAUGGGGGCGCUGUCUCUACCCGAGACUCAGUGAAAUUGAAAUCGCCGUGAAGAUGCGGUGUAUCCGCGGCUAGACGGAAAGACCCCGUGAACCUUUACUAUAGCUUCACAGUGAACUUUGAGCAUGUUUGUGUAGGAUAGCUGGGAGGCUUUGAAGUGGGAACGCCAGUUCUCAUGGAGCCAACCUUGAAAUACCAGCCUGACAUGUUUGAGGUUCUAACUUGGUCCCCUUAUCGGGGAUGAGGACACUGUGUGGUGGGUAGUUUGACUGGGGCGGUCUCCUCCCAAAGCGUAACGGAGGAGCACAAAGGUGGGCUAAGCAUGGUCGGACAUCAUGCGGUUAGUGUAAUGGCACAAGCCCGCUUAACUGCGAGACAGACACGUCGAGCAGGUACGAAAGUAGGUCAUAGUGAUCCGGUGGUUCUGUAUGGAAGGGCCAUCGCUCAACGGAUAAAAGGUACUCCGGGGAUAACAGGCUGAUACCGCCCAAGAGUUCACAUCGACGGCGGUGUUUGGCACCUCGAUGUCGGCUCAUCACAUCCUGGGGCUGAAGCCGGUCCCAAGGGUAUGGCUGUUCGCCAUUUAAAGUGGUACGCGAGCUGGGUUUAGAACGUCGUGAGACAGUUCGGUCCCUAUCUGCCGUGGACGUUGGAGAUUUGAGGAAAGCUGCUCCUAGUACGAGAGGACCGGAGUGGACGAACCGCUGGUGUUCGGGUUGUCAUGCCAAUGGCAUUGCCCGGUAGCUAUGUUCGGAACGGAUAACCGCUGAAAGCAUCUAAGCGGGAAGCCGGCCCAAAGAUGAGUCAUCCCUGACCUUUAAGGUCUGGAAGGGUUGUUAUAGACGAUGACGUUGAUAGGCAGGGUGUGGAAGCGUUGUAAGGCGUUAAGCUAACCUGUACUAAUUGCCCGAGAGGCUUAACC
Molecule: ribosomal RNA, 2744 nt
Filed under: Symbiodinium sp. Mp
Lineage: Eukaryota; Dinophyceae; Suessiales; Symbiodiniaceae
Description: partial Bacterial large subunit ribosomal RNA
Rfam family: Bacterial large subunit ribosomal RNA
Source: RNAcentral